Colius striatus (speckled mousebird) is the source of this 323-nucleotide long non-coding RNA. RefSeq lists it as uncharacterized. Lineage: Eukaryota; Metazoa; Chordata; Aves; Coliiformes; Coliidae. The record is from RefSeq and is a predicted model, not a curated record. The transcript is spliced from 2 exons.
GGGAUGUGAACGGAACGGGGCAGGGCCGAGACUUUGUUUUGCUGGACUGAAGCUCUGUGUUUCUUGCAAAUCCUCCUAGAACUCAGUGCAUUGCAGAUUUGUCGCCGGGGCUCAGCCCCAGCCCGGAGUGGUGACCGCGGGGCGCUUACGCCGGCACUUGGCGGUUUCAUUGUUGAGGUGGCUGGACCAGAAGAUUGCUCUGCAAGAUGGUGAGAGUGCUGCCUGUGCAGUUUGGUCAUAUCUGUGGGGUCUUUUUAGGUUAUAGAAAGUAGUUUUGCCUAACUAGGUGGUGACCAUGAAUAAAAUCUGGUUCUCAAAGUUAA